AUGAACGCUGGCGGCGUGCCUAAUACAUGCAAGUCGAGCGAACAGACGAGGAGCUUGCUCCUCUGACGUUAGCGGCGGACGGGUGAGUAACACGUGGAUAACCUACCUAUAAGACUGGGAUAACUUCGGGAAACCGGAGCUAAUACCGGAUAAUAUAUUGAACCGCAUGGUUCAAUAGUGAAAGACGGUUUUGCUGUCACUUAUAGAUGGAUCCGCGCCGCAUUAGCUAGUUGGUAAGGUAACGGGUUACCAAGGCGACGAUGCGUAGCCGACCUGAGAGGGUGAUCGGCCACACUGGAACUGAGACACGGUCCAGACUCCUACGGGAGGCAGCAGUAGGGAAUCUUCCGCAAUGGGCGAAAGCCUGACGGAGCAACGCCGCGUGAGUGAUGAAGGUCUUCGGAUCGUAAAACUCUGUUAUUAGGGAAGAACAAAUGUGUAAGUAACUAUGCACGUCUUGACGGUACCUAAUCAGAAAGCCACGGCUAACUACGUG
This 496-nucleotide ribosomal RNA is filed under the name uncultured bacterium. RNAcentral describes it as "partial 16S ribosomal RNA". It matches the Rfam family "Bacterial small subunit ribosomal RNA", at positions 29 to 507 of the family's 1533-position model. The record is from RNAcentral.